This 467-nucleotide ribosomal RNA is filed under the name uncultured bacterium. Its description in RNAcentral is "bacterial SSU rRNA". It matches the Rfam family "Bacterial small subunit ribosomal RNA", at positions 330 to 795 of the family's 1533-position model. The record is from RNAcentral.
UCCAGACUCCUACGGGAGGCAGCAGUGAGGAAUAUUGGUCAAUGGGCGCGAGCCUGAACCAGCCAAGUCGCGUGAGGGAUGACGGUCCUAUGGAUUGUAAACCUCUUUUGUCAGGGAGCAAAGGGCGCCACGUGUAGCGUUUUGCGAGUACCUGAAGAAAAAGCAUCGGCUAACUCCGUGCCAGCAGCCGCGGUAAUACGGAGGAUGCGGGCGUUAUCCGGAUUUAUUGGGUUUAAAGGGUGCGCAGGCGGAAUGUCAAGUCAGCGGUUAAAUUUCGGGGCUCAACCCCGUCGUGCCGUUGAAACUGGCGUUCUUGAGUGAGCGAGAAGUAUGCGGAAUGCGUGGUGUAGCGGUGAAAUGCUUAGAUAUCACGAAGAACCCCGAUUGCGAAGGCAGCCUGCCGCAGCGUUACUGACGCUGAAGCUCGAAAGCGCGGGUAUCGAACAGGAUUAGAUACCCGGGUAAAA